RNAcentral lists this ribosomal RNA (450 nucleotides) under uncultured bacterium. RNAcentral describes it as "partial 16S ribosomal RNA". It matches the Rfam family "Bacterial small subunit ribosomal RNA", at positions 354 to 796 of the family's 1533-position model. The record is from RNAcentral.
GUGGGGAAUUUUGGACAAUGGGCGCAAGCCUGAUCCAGCAAUGCCGCGUGCAGGAAGAAGGCCUUCGGGUUGUAAACUGCUUUUGUACGGAACGAAACGGUCCGGGUUAAUACCCUGGGCUAAUGACGGUACCGUAAGAAUAAGCACCGGCUAACUACGUGCCAGCAGCCGCGGUAAUACGCAGGGUGCAAGCGUUAAUCGGAAUUACUGGGCGUAAAGCGUGCGCAGGCGGUUUUGUAAGACAGGCGUGAAAUCCCCGGGCUCAACCUGGGAAUUGCGCUUGUGACUGCAAGGCUGGAGUGCGGCAGAGGGGGAUGGAAUUCCGCGUGUAGCAGUGAAAUGCGUAGAUAUGCGGAGGAACACCGAUGGCGAAGGCAAUCCCCUGGGCCUGCACUGACGCUCAUGCACGAAAGCGUGGGGAGCAAACAGGAUUAGAUACCCGAGUAGUCC